Molecule: ribosomal RNA, 302 nt
Filed under: uncultured organism
Description: bacterial SSU rRNA
Rfam family: Bacterial small subunit ribosomal RNA
Source: RNAcentral
GGGAACAACAGCUGGAAACGGCUGCUAAUACCCCAUAGGCUGAGGAGCAAAAGGAGGAAUCCGCCCAAGGAGGGGCUCGCGUCUGAUUAGUUAGUUGGUGAGGCAAUGGCUUACCAAGGCGACGAUCAGUAGCUGGUCCGAGAGGAUGAUCAGCCACACUGGGACUGAGACACGGCCCAGACUCCUACGGGAGGCAGCAGUGGGGAAUUUUCCGCAAUGGGCGAAAGCCUGACGGAGCAAUGCCGCGUGAAGGCAGAAGGCCACGGGUCAUGAACUUCUUUUCUCGGAGAAGAAAAAAUGAC